This 1461-nucleotide ribosomal RNA is filed under the name uncultured bacterium. RNAcentral describes it as "bacterial SSU rRNA". It matches the Rfam family "Bacterial small subunit ribosomal RNA". The record is from RNAcentral.
GAUGAACGCUAGCGGCGUGCUUGAGAUAUGCAAGUCGAGCGUCUUUAAGCUGAAAAAGGAGCGGCAGACGGCUGAGUAAUACAUAGGUAUUUGCCCCUUUCUUGGUGAUAGCCCCGCGAAAGCGGGGGUAAUAAUCAAUGAUUCCCAGCUUUGCUGGUAUAAAGAACUUAACUGUUUGGAAAGGGAUAAGCCUGUGGCCUAUCAGGUAGUUGGUAGGGUAAUGGCCUUCCAAGCCUAUAACGGGUAGCUGGCCCGAGAGGGUGGUCAGCCAGAGGGGUACUGAGACACGGACCCCACUCCUACGGGAGGCAGCAAUCAGGAAUAGUCGGCAAUGGGCGAAAGCCUGACCGCGCGACGCCGCGUGCGAGAUUAAGCUCUAACGAGUGUAAAUCGCUGUUGUAAAGGAAGAAGUCCUCCGAUUCGGAGGAUUGACGGUACUUUAUUAGAAAGGGGCCGCUAACUGCGUGCCAGAAGCGUCGGUAAUACGUGGGCCCCGAGCGUUAUCCGGUUUUACUGGGCGUAAAGAGUCGUGUAGGUGCCUUAUAAAGUCCUAUUUUAAAUACUAAGGCUAAACUUUAGGAAAAGGUAGGAUACUCAUAAGGUUGAGUUGUCUUUAGGGAGACUGGAACUUAGGGAGGAGUAGUGAAAUGCGUUGAUACCCUAGGGAACACCAGUGGCGAAGGCGAGUCUCUGGAAGACAUCUGACACUGAGACACGAGAGCUAGGGGAGCGAAGCAGAUUAGAGACCUGCGUAGUCCUAGCCCUAAACGCAUGCUUGCUAGCUGCACCUUUCCAGCACUGUAACGACAAUUUAUUUUAUCGUUACAGUGCUGGAUAGAUGUGGCGUAGGUAACCCGAUAAGCAAGCCGCCUGGGGAGUACGGCCGCAAGGCUAAAACUCAAAGGAAUUGGCGGGGAGGCACACAACCAGUGGAACAUGUGGUUCAAUUCGAUACGAACCGAAGAACCUCACCAGGGUUUGACAUCUUAGCGUUCUAUUUCAUAGAAAUAUGAGAAAUCCGCAAGGAGGCUAAGACAGGUGCUGCAUGGCUGUCGUCAGCUCGUUCCGUGAGGAGUGCCCUUAAGUGGGACAACGAGCGCAACCCCUAUUUUGUGUUAAAUCUAUCACAAAAGACUGCCCUCGAGUAAUUCGGGGGAGGAAGGCGGGGCAGACGUCAAGUCAGCAUGGUCCUUAUACCCUGGGCUACACACAUGUUACAAUGAGAAGUACAGUGAGUUUCGCCACUUAGCAAUAAGGAGCAAAUCUCAAAAACUUUUCUCAGUUGGGAUUGGGGUCUGCAACUCGACCCCAUGAACUCGGAAUUGGUAGUAAUCGUGGAUCAGUCACGCCACGGUGAAUACGUUCUUGCCUCUUGCACACACCGCCCGUCAAGCCAACAAAGUCGGAAAAAUUUGAACUCCGACGUUAAGUCGGAGGAGGAUUUUUUUGGCGAUGGGGGUU